GCUUGUCUCAAAGAUUAAGCCAUGCAUGUCUAAGUAUAAACUGCUUAUACUGUGAAACUGCGAAUGGCUCAUUAAAUCAGUUAUAGUUUAUUUGAUGGUACCUCUACUCGGAUAACCGUAGUAAUUCUAGAGCUAAUACGUGCGCAAAUCCCGACUUCUGGAAGGGACGUAUUUAUUAGAUAAAAGGCCAGCCGGGCUCACGCCCGACCUGCGGUGACUCAUGAUAACUUCACGAAUCGCACGGCCUUGUGCCGGCGAUGUUUCAUUCAAAUUUCUGCCCUAUCAACUUUCGAUGGUAGUGUAUUGGACUACCAUGGCGGUGACGGGUAACGAAGAAUAAGGGUUCGGUUUCGGAGAGGGAGCCUGAGAGAUGGCUACCACAUCCAAGGAAGGCAGCAGG
This 400-nucleotide ribosomal RNA is filed under the name uncultured Chlamydomonadales. RNAcentral describes it as "partial small subunit ribosomal RNA". It matches the Rfam family "Eukaryotic small subunit ribosomal RNA", at positions 30 to 432 of the family's 1831-position model. The record is from RNAcentral. Lineage: Eukaryota; Viridiplantae; Chlorophyta; Chlorophyceae; Chlamydomonadales.